This 253-nucleotide ribosomal RNA is filed under the name uncultured bacterium. Its description in RNAcentral is "partial 16S ribosomal RNA". It matches the Rfam family "Bacterial small subunit ribosomal RNA", at positions 524 to 776 of the family's 1533-position model. The record is from RNAcentral.
UACGUAGGCAGCGAGCGUUGUUCGGAGUUACUGGGCGUAAAGGGCGCGUAGGCGGCACUGUUAGUCAGGCGUGAAAGUCCUGGGCUCAACCUGGGAACUGCGCUUGAUACGGCAGAGCUAGAGGAUGGAAGAGGCUCGCGGAAUUCCCAGUGUAGAGGUGAAAUUCGUAGAUAUCAGGAGGAACACCGGCGGUGUAGACGGCUUGCUAGACCAUAACUGACGCUGAGGCACGAAAGCGUGGGUAGCAAACAGG